RNA transcript from Anopheles coustani, 710 nucleotides. RefSeq lists it as uncharacterized. The transcript is spliced from 3 exons. NCBI's taxonomy places the organism in Eukaryota, Metazoa, Arthropoda, Insecta, Diptera, Culicidae. The record is from RefSeq and is a predicted model, not a curated record.
GCUACAUUCAAAAGCCGUACUAGAGUAAAUCCUCGCAAAAGAAGAAGUAGAAGUGAUGCAUGGAGAACAAACGAAAAGUAUGACGGAAUCUACACCGUUUUCGAGCUCAGUUCCCAAGUGAUAUUGUGAAUAAUCAUACGACCGUGUUCGCAUGUGGCAAUCGAAAUCAAGCAGAAUCUUUAAACCAUUGAAAACAAAGUGCUAUAGCUACUCAAAGUGCCCUAGUUAUGAUUCAACUGGAGUUUUGGUGAAUCUGCCAAGGAAGAGAUAAGGAGUGAUUGCAACAAAAGCAUCGGUUGUAUCAGCGAGCCAAAUGCUAGGGGUAAUUCUCUAGCCUAUUGAAGCACAGCGCAUUUGCCACAGCAUAAACUCAGACCAGAACGGUGCUUCUUAGCUUUUGUGAUUUGUAACGUACUAUUGGCUAUAUUUCCGAGUCUAACGUAAUUUGGUUCAUCGAUCCAGUGACAUAGGCAGCAACGUUGAGUGCAGAUAUUUCUACAGCAAAAUAUUGUGCGACAUACUACUUCCCCAAAACUUACUAUCCGGAAGAUCGUGAGCAUCGUAAAUUGUUUAAACUUCAAUAAUACAUAAGCACAAGUAGCUGAAGUUUUUUUACGUAACUAUAGAGGAGAUGGAGAGAUUAAAAAAAAAAAUCUUAAAAGGAUGACCAUAAAUCAGUCUCCGAACAAAAAGCAUCAUCUUCGGGAUAA